UACGUAGGUGGCAAGCGUUGUCCGGAUUUAUUGGGUUUAAAGGGUGCGUAGGCGGCCUAUUAAGUCAGUUCUGAAAUAUCCCGGCUUAACCGGGAGGGUGGGAUUGAUACUGAUGGGCUUGAGUGGAGUCGAGGUAGGCGGAAUUGACGGUGUAGCGGUGAAAUGCUUAGAUAUCGUCAAGAAUACCGAUAGUGUAGACAGCUUACUAGACUUCAACUGACGCUGAGGCACGAAAGUGUGGGGAUCAAACAGG
RNAcentral lists this ribosomal RNA (253 nucleotides) under uncultured bacterium. Its description in RNAcentral is "partial 16S ribosomal RNA". It matches the Rfam family "Bacterial small subunit ribosomal RNA", at positions 524 to 776 of the family's 1533-position model. The record is from RNAcentral.